UACAGAGGGUGCGAGCGUUAAUCGGAAUUACUGGGCGUAAAGCGUGCGUAGACGGUUAUUUAAGUCGGGUGUGAAAGCCCCGGGCUCAACCUGGGAAUUGCAUUCGAGACUGCAUUGCUGGAGUACGGAAGAGGAGGGCGGAAUUCCCGGUGUAGCGGUGAAAUGCGUAGAUAUCGGGAGGAACAUCAGUGGCGAAGGCGGCCCUCUGGUCCAGUACUGACACUCAAGUGCGAAAGCGUGGGGAGCAAACAGG
This 253-nucleotide ribosomal RNA is filed under the name uncultured bacterium. RNAcentral's name for it is "partial 16S ribosomal RNA". It matches the Rfam family "Bacterial small subunit ribosomal RNA", at positions 524 to 776 of the family's 1533-position model. The record is from RNAcentral.